RNAcentral lists this long non-coding RNA (205 nucleotides) under Pan troglodytes (chimpanzee). RNAcentral's name for it is "long non-coding RNA NONPTRT009261". Lineage: Eukaryota; Metazoa; Chordata; Mammalia; Primates; Hominidae. The record is from RNAcentral.
AAUUACUAAAAGAGAAAACUGUCAGCUAAGAACAUUACACUCAGCAAAGCUAUCCUUCAGAAAUGAAGGAGAAAUAAAAUCGUUCAGAGAGAAUAAAAAUUAAGAGAGGAGGGUGGCAGAACAAGAUGGUGGAAUAGAAGGCUCCAAUGAUCCCCCCUGCCCCCACCAAGGUCACCAAUUUGACAAGUAUCUGCAGAGAAAGAUC